Falco peregrinus (peregrine falcon) is the source of this 5020-nucleotide long non-coding RNA. RefSeq lists it as uncharacterized. The transcript is spliced from 3 exons. The record is from RefSeq and is a predicted model, not a curated record. NCBI's taxonomy places the organism in Eukaryota, Metazoa, Chordata, Aves, Falconiformes, Falconidae.
CAGAAAUCCUUCCCCAGGAUGUUUUUUUUCUUUCUGUCUGUAUGAUACUGCCUCUAAUGGGAUGCAGCACAGCUGUUGAAUGAGUUCACAUGCUUUUUGGAGAAAGUAGUCCUGACAGUAGCUUUGGAUUUCGCUGAACUGUUCUACAGGUGAAAAGUGGAUUACACUUUGUAGGAGCCUUAAUCCAGUGGAGAAUACAACAUGUGGCUGAAGAAGCUGGGAAUCCCUGGUCAUCAAUGAAAAUACUAAGACUCAUCCUGAAGUGGAUUCUUGAAGACCUCCUUUAAGAAUUGCCCCUCAUUCAAGUAAUUCCACAUUCAGUACAAAUCACUGUGUUCCAUGUAACCUGGUUCUUGCCUACCUCGCAUUUCUUGUGAGCAUUUCCUCCAUCAUGUCUAACUAAUAUUCCAUGCACAGCAAGUCAGUGCCUGAAAGUAAUUACGUUCCCUUGGAGGUGUAUGCUUAUCUUUUCAAUACCUUUCUGAAGUCCAGAUGUAAUCUUUUCCAUUUCCCUUGGUUUUAUUUAAAAUAAUGUAACAUUUUUAUCGAAAACAACUGCUAAAAUAAUCUUUCAGCAGAGACUAUGGAGGCAGCUAAGAGAUCCUUUUCACGCCAUGUGUAUUUAUCAGAAUGAAUGUAUAGUAAAAGAAAAUGAUGAGGGCAGACUUCCCUGUUAGGAUUGUUAGUAUGUUACCUGGGCUCCGAGCUUUUAGCAGUCGUGGCUGUGCAGCUAACUUCAUCACCAUCAGAUCACCAUCACCUUCAGAUUCAUGUAGCAUCUACACCUUAUUUUCUCAACACUGUUAUUUAGGAAAAUCACUCUGCUUGCUGCAGUUAUUGAAAAUAAGGUAUUUUCUCUAUUGGAAUCUGUCCUCUUUCCAAAUGUUUAUGUGGGAUCACCUGGAGCCUUAAAGUAUUUUCUUUUAAUAGGGCUAUCAUGUAAGAUAUGUUUUAAUGUUACUCCAUUUCUAUGCUGCUAUAACUCCAUGAUAGUCAAGCUCAGUCUGUUCAUGCACAAAGGUUUAUUAGUUUCCCUCCACAUAAUAUGAGACUGUCUUACAAGUGGAAGGUGCCAGCUAUGGUUGGUCUGAUCUCAGGAGAAUGCUCAUAAUUAAAUAACAUUGUUUUGUGUUUUUGUCCCCUUUUGACAGGACAUCUAAUAUAAAGUAGUACUCUGACAUCAUAGUAGGCAGCAAUCCAGUGGUGUCUCAGUUCUUACCAUAUGCAUCAGUCUUUCACGUGACUUACUUUCAUAUAACUUACACAAACUGCUCUGUUCCCAUCCUGUAUGGACCAAUUUCUUCUUUAAUCAGAUGGUGCUUCCUGUCUGAUCACCAUGACUCUCCUUCAAAAGAUAAAUAAUUUGCAUCUAACACAAUACUGUACUGGAAAGAUCUUUUUUUGUCUCAUCUAUAUUCAAUAGCAAAUCUCUGCUUUUCAAAUGGGGGUUGAGAGACGAUCCUGUGAACUACUGCAAACCUAGUGUUCCUGGUAACAGCAGGAACUGACAUUGUUCAGUAACUCGCUUGGAUUCUAAAAGCUAAGAUUAAUGAGAAGCUUGUGCUUUGAGAGUUUUUAUUGACCAGCUCUCAGAGCCAGGCAGACCACCAGCAUGGAUCCUAUAGGAACCUUCUUUCCCAUAGGAGAAAACCCCUUGUCCUAAAAUGGAGGCCCUGUGAUGUCCAUUCACUUUCAGCAUUUCUCUUUCUGUCUUUUGUAAUCAAUCUUAUUCAGGAGCUUUCUUUUACAUGCUAACUAUGCAAUGCCAAUGGGACCCUCACCUCAGAUGAGGUCUUUAAGGGCUACUGGUAAUACAUAUAAUCUUUUCCAGCACCAAGAUUUAGACUUCAAAAUCAGAGGGAAAAGGCAGAAGCUGAAAUUAGGCUGGAAACAAAGUUAAUGUUUUUACCAGGGAGUGUAAUUAGCCCAUAGAGCAGCUUCUGGUAGGGGUAGCUGCUUCACAGUCAUUAAAAUGUCAUAGACUUACUGUGUUUUUGUUUGUUUCCUUGUAUUUAAUACAAACCAUAUGGCAAUGAACAAUACUUCAUUUUGAGUUUCCAAGAAGGGGAAUUCUUAUUAACAAAGGCUUUCUAGUAGCAUGUGUGAAAGAGGACUUUCAUUAUAUUUAUAGGGUUAAUUUAUAUAGGGUAAUAUUUGGUCUCAGUUAAUCCAUCUGUCUAAUAUUUUAACAAUAUUUUAAUGAAACCUUGAGCCAGAUGUCAAUGUAGUUAAGUGUUGCUUAUUUUAUCCGUUGAUUUUCAGUAAAAUAUUGAGGAAUGAAAAACUGAAAACCUAACUCUAACAAAGGGGAAUUACAGUGAUUGUCAUUGAUUUCAACAGGGUCAAAAUGUUAUGGAGCAUUUAUAUGUUCAGCAACUGAAGUAGUGAAAUAUAAAUAUAGAGAUUUGAGAUUGCCUUUAUGCAUGUAACACAGGCAGUUAUUGUAAACCCAGCAAUUCUUUUGUAUGUAGCAGGUCAUAAUAUUUUAUAAUGCAUCGGCACCCCCCCCCCCAAAAAAAAAAACCACCCAACCUUCGUAAAACAUGAACUGUGUGCCAGCUUCCUUCCUAGUUGAUGAUAGUCACAAAGCUGGUCCCAAAUCUGUCAUUGCUAAAUGAACACUAAACUGAUACUAGUCCUUCUCUUUAUUGUGGCCUAGCGUGGUCAUUGCUGUUCUUAGCCCUUUGACUUGAAGUGUCCAGCAGACAUUAAUCUAUGCUCAUUACAUGCAAAUUUUAGCUGUAGUCUUUGAUUUGGUUGCUGCUGCUGAAGGAACAUACACAUAAUUUAUCAGGGCGCUACUAGACCUUAAUCGUCCUGGCCAGCCUCACCUUGGGCCUCUCCCUACAACCCUGCCUGUGGUCCCAGGCACCUGAUUUCAGUUCAUCCCAGGGCCUUCAGUCUUCACCUGAGCUAUGUUGGGAGGAUGGCUGGCCUCCAGCUCAACCACAGCCCUGUCCUGCCUGGCCAUGAGCUGUGUUGAUCAAGACCCUAACCUGAAUACUGAUUUCCUGGCUUGAACUCAGCCCUGCCUCAUCACCAUGAUUUUGCCUGAUGAUUUGGAGUCUUGGUUGAGCCUGGCUGCUGUCUCCAGGUCUGUCCUACCCUGUUCACCUUGCCUGGGUACUCUAGGGCUGGGCCCUGGCUGGGAGGACACCUGUCCUGCUUGCUGGGCAUUAUGCUCAGCUUCCACCUUCCCAUCCCUUAGGGAGCAGCAAGCCAGCCCUUAGCGUACACUGCUACAACUGUCUACUGAAAGAGUUAGAAAAGCUUAGAUUCAGCUCCUGUUCCAGUUGACAAAGGGAUAUUGCUUAUGGAUGUUGGGAUCAUGGGCUGAGUCAGUCCAUGAAAUAUUAAAAAGAAAUCUGAGGUGGAGUCAGCCUUAGUUGGAUUCUGGUCAGUAAAAUGAUUAUACUCAGUGAUUACAUGCAUGAGUCUGUAGUUAAGGAGUUGUUACAGAGCUGUACUUGGUCAUUUGCAUUAGAAUAUCAAACCUGUUUGGGACUGUAUUUAGCAAACUUAUAGGUAAUAUUGUAACCUAUUGCAAAACAAGAGGCUUUUAUCAAGCUGUCAUUUCUUCACUUUUGGAAUAGUUAGAUAUCACAUGAUGUAACUACCCCAGAUGGCUGGGUGAGAAAUUCCUGCAUUCCUGAUUUACUGAGUCUAAAAUUUCACUGCUGUCAGACCCUUGAAUGCACUUAUGGUUGGAUAAUAUUUUGGUUUCUGUGGCUUUUGGAGAAACUGAACUUUUAGUUAUUAUGCACAACAUUAAUAUCCUUCCUCCCCCUUGUUAUGUGUAUAACAUUUUUUGUCUUCAGACCAUUACAUCUAGCAUUACGUGACUCAUGGCCCAUUGCAGCUCAGUAAAAUGUCAUGGUUAUGAAUAUAUUGCACAGUGAGCCUGUCUUGCACAUCUUCGGUGCAAUAUUUAUUAUUCAGCUCUUGCUGGAGUCAAUGGAAGAUUUCCAUUAUGCUGAAAAGACAUUUGGAGCAGGUCUGAGUUUGCCCUUAGCGUGCCUGACUACUGCGCAAAGAAAAGGCCUAUUUGUAGACUGAGUAGCCAUCUCUUUUAUGACUUUAAUGUAGUCACUACUGGUGACUAAAAUGGAAGUUUCAGCAUACUCUGGUCACAAGACUGCAUACUCAGGGCCUCUGAAGAGCUCACAGGUUUCCACAUGAGCUAACAACAAGUUGCAUUAAGAACACCUCAUCUACUUCUUGAACAGGAAGUCUGUAGCAGAUGCCCACUGCAAUGUCACCCAUGAUGGUCUGUCCACUAAUCCUAACCUCUACAUUGUCAGGUCCCUAGGCCGAGCUCCAUGUGUUCCCACUACACUCACAUAACGAGCAAAUCCCUCUCCUUCCCAGUCUCUCCUGCCUAAAGACCCCCCUUUCUUUCUGAAUUUUGCUUUAACCCUCGUUAAUCACAUUUCUUUCCUGUUGUGUGUAAUUUUGCCUGCCAUGAGCUCUUUUGCCUGUUUACAUAUUCCUCCUUAGGCCCCCUAUUACUUUUCCCCAUAUUCCCUUGUCCUCAUUCUUAUGUUGCCUUGUCUAUCUUCCUCUGUCACCACUUGACUUUAGUAUCUCACAUCAGUAGGUAUCUGGGGCAGUGGAAGACCCAAAACUGAACAGAUGUGCUUUGAUGCCAUUCUUUCAGUCCGGAAGUUGUACUUUUCCUCAUAUUAUCCUCCAUGGCCCUCAAGGCUUACUUUUUUAUAGUAAUCCUCUUGAAACAAAACCUAUCUGUUUUCUUAUGGUCUCAGAGCAUUGUUAUUACUUAACUUACUAAGUAAGAUUGCAGAGACACUGAUGCUUUCUUUAGAAAAACCAGGCUGUAUUAUACCAUCCAGGAUAAUCUGUGAUGUGCUAGUAUGAAUAGGAUCUGAAAUAAAGUAUGCUCUGGGCUUGGUUUUCAUGGAGUUCUGUUUCUUCUUGAUGUAUUUAUGCACCCAGCCUGACCACCAUAUAUACAGUCAAAGAAGCUACAUGUGCAAUUUUCCUUGAUCAACAUGGUAAAAAU